UAACCUACCUAUAAGACGUGGGAAUUAACGUUACGGGAAACCGGAGCUAAUACCGGAUAAUAUAUUGAACCGCAUGGUUCAAUAGUGAAAGACGGUUUUGCUGUCACUUAUAGAUGGAUCCGCGCCGCAUUAGCUAGUUGGUAAGGUAACGGCUUACCAAGGCAACGAUGCGUAGCCGACCUGAGAGGGUGAUCGGCCACACUGGAACUGAGACACGGUCCAGACUCCUACGGGAGGCAGCAGCA
This 245-nucleotide ribosomal RNA is filed under the name uncultured Staphylococcus sp. Its description in RNAcentral is "partial 16S ribosomal RNA". It matches the Rfam family "Bacterial small subunit ribosomal RNA", at positions 122 to 355 of the family's 1533-position model. Lineage: Bacteria; Bacillati; Bacillota; Bacilli; Caryophanales; Staphylococcaceae. The record is from RNAcentral.